RNAcentral lists this ribosomal RNA (253 nucleotides) under uncultured bacterium. Its description in RNAcentral is "partial 16S ribosomal RNA". It matches the Rfam family "Bacterial small subunit ribosomal RNA", at positions 524 to 776 of the family's 1533-position model. The record is from RNAcentral.
UACAGAGGUCCCGAGCGUUGUUCGGAUUCACUGGGCGUAAAGGGUGCGUAGGCUGCGCAGCAAGUUGGGUGUGAAAUCCCUCGGCUUAACCGAGGAACUGCGCCCAAAACUGCUGUGCUCGAGGGAGAUAGAGGUGAGCGGAACUUAGGGUGGAGCGGUGAAAUGCGUUGAUAUCCUAAGGAACACCGGUGGCGAAAGCGGCUCACUGGAUCUCUUCUGACGCUGAGGCACGAAAGCUAGGGUAGCGAACGGG